Molecule: ribosomal RNA, 269 nt
Filed under: uncultured prokaryote
Description: partial 16S ribosomal RNA
Rfam family: Bacterial small subunit ribosomal RNA
Source: RNAcentral
UACGGAGGAUCCGAGCGUUAUCCGGAUUUAUUGGGUUUAAAGGGUGCGCAGGCGGAAUAUUAAGUCGGCGGUGAAAGUUUGCAGCUUAACUGUAAAAUUGCCGUUGAUACUGGUAUUCUUGAGCGUAUAUGAAGUAGGCGGAAUUUGUAGUGUAGCGGUGAAAUGCAUAGAUAUUACACAGAACACCGAUUGCGAAGGCAGCUUACUAAUCCAUCAUUGACGCUGAGGCACGAAAGCGUGGGGAUCAAACAGGAUUAGAUACCCCGGUA